This 556-nucleotide ribosomal RNA is filed under the name uncultured bacterium. RNAcentral's name for it is "partial 16S ribosomal RNA". It matches the Rfam family "Bacterial small subunit ribosomal RNA", at positions 355 to 926 of the family's 1533-position model. The record is from RNAcentral.
UGGGGAAUAUUGCACAAUGGGCGAAAGCCUGAUGCAGCAACGCCGCGUGAGUGAUGAAGGCCUUCGGGUUGUAAAGCUCUGUCUUUUGGGACGAUAAUGACGGUACCAAAGGAGGAAGCCACGGCUAACUACGUGCCAGCAGCCGCGGUAAUACGUAGGUGGCAAGCGUUGUCCGGAUUUACUGGGCGUAAAGGAUGCGUAGGCGGAUUUUUAAGUGAGAUGUGAAAUACCCGGGCUUAACUUGGGUGCUGCAUUUCAAACUGGGAAUCUAGAGUGCGGGAGAGGAGAAUGGAAUUCCUAGUGUAGCGGUGAAAUGCGUAGAGAUUAGGAAGAACACCAGUGGCGAAGGCGAUUCUCUGGACCGUAACUGACGCUGAGGCAUGAAAGCGUGGGUAGCAAACAGGAUUAGAUACCCUGGUAGUCCACGCCGUAAACGAUGAGUACUAGGUGUAGGAGGUAUCGACCCCUUCUGUGCCGCAGUUAACACAAUCAAGUACUCCGCCUGGGAAGUACGAUCGCAAGAUUAAAACUCAAAGGAAUUGACGGGGUCAAUAGC